CUCGCUCUCUCUCUUUAUAGCUUCGUAGUUUGUUCAGCAAGGCGUUCAACCACCGUAAGAAGAAUAAGAAUGGCUCGGUGUCGGAUGCUGAGGAUGGAGUGAGCAUGACGAGUGAUGGGUCGGCCCCCAACUCACCGAUGUGUGUGCGCAACAACCGCAGUGGCUCGCUCAAGCUCACCCACUCAUCGUCACUGUCGCCUGGAGCCAUCCAUUGGACGAGGAAACCUGAGGAGAGAGGUUGGCGAGGAUGCGGAGCAGCUCCAGGCGAUGGCUCCAGGCGAUGACUCCUUACCCGACCUGCAUGCAACGACGUCAUUAAUCGCUUAUCGAUAGUACAAACAG
Molecule: long non-coding RNA, 342 nt
Filed under: Priapulus caudatus
Lineage: Eukaryota; Metazoa; Priapulida; Priapulimorpha; Priapulimorphida; Priapulidae
Description: uncharacterized LOC106818586, transcript variant X3
Source: RNAcentral